Long non-coding RNA from Austrofundulus limnaeus, 5218 nucleotides. RefSeq lists it as uncharacterized. The transcript is spliced from 2 exons. Lineage: Eukaryota; Metazoa; Chordata; Actinopteri; Cyprinodontiformes; Rivulidae. The record is from RefSeq and is a predicted model, not a curated record.
CUCUGCAGGUUUGCCAAAAUAACAGCCUCUGACGGUGGGUUCGCAUGAACACAGUCUAAUGGGGGAUGGAUUCACCUCUUUUUUUUGGAUAUUUUUUUUCUUUGCCUUUUUGCGUCUGCCUAUUGUUUAGGUGAAAGAUGUGGGUGUGUGCGGGUGUGUGUGUGUGUGUGUGUGUGUGUGUGUGUGUGUGUGUACACUUCACCAGCCCCCAUAGCAGUGGGAGAGGAGGAGACAACUGUAUGCGUGAGCAAUAUCGUUUUCCCCUCCCUCCACUUUUCUCUUACCCCCCACCACCUCCUCAUGCUUCUUUUCCUUCAUUGCCACGACCAUCAGGACCCAUUCUCCCUCUCCCCCUCUCUUUCUCACCAUCAUUCUGCUUGGUUAUGCAAUGCACAGUUCCCACACGGUGACUAACUGGUGCUGGAGACCUGCCGUAACACUGCUGUCACCGGUGGUAGGUGUAGAUCUAUUGUGACACAGCGACAGGCACUCAGGCUUCCUUAUGCCUCUACAGACAUCUCCUUGGGAUUUUCAUCUUUUUGCGUUUUCCAUGGAAUAUCACCUGCCAGACUCUGCCUAAUUUGGGGACCUGCCUGUUCUUGUUCAGCUCAGCGGAGGCUGGGUGUCACAGAGAUACAUUCAGCUCACCCUGCAGACAUAAUCACGCACAGUGUUGGCACGGGUGCUUCAAUGUUGAGAUUUUUUUUUAGUCCACUGAUCCCCAAAAGGAUGAGCUAGUGGAAGUGUGCUGAGAAACAAGGAGGUGUGUAGAUUUACAAACUGCGAAGGGAGCUGGUGUAGUUGUGUGGAGGAGUUUAGGCAAAGCAGGUAACUGGGAACUGGCGACCGAAAAGACGAAGCAGACAAAAAAAAAAAGGAUGGGAGGAAUGCUGGGGAGGUGGGUUGGAGGAACACCCGCUGCAAGCAUUUUAACAGCAGAAAUGUAAACCUGCUAAAUAUCACUGAAYGCAAACAUUUGCAACGGCAAACUUCAAGCAUUUUUUGGAAAGCGAGAUUGCAGAACUUUCCAGGUGGCGCUGUAGAACGAAGAAAAGAGAAGUGACACAAGGGGGUUUUCUUUCAAGACAGCAAAUUCAUCGCCGUUGUUGCACCCCUGCUUUCCAUUCUCCUCUUUAUUGCUUGGCGUGCUGCUUUAACUGCUGGGACUGAGACUACAUAUCCAAUCUUCUCCUGUUUCUACCCUGGGUCUAUGUAUGAUGUCUUUAAACCCACAUUUCUCCUGUGAGGACGUAAAAAGAAUGCCGGAUGAUGUUGUACACCAGAAACGUCUUAGGAUAAAUGCCCCCUUGCCAGGUUAGGUGAGCAUCAGGAUCAUGGGCACGACUGUCAUCACUCUUGAUGACGUGCGGGCACUGGAGGUCAAGGAAGAGCAGGAGGAGUCAAUCUUAGCCAUGUUGGGCAUCAUUGGUACUUUCCUUAACCUCUUUGUGAUUGUUUUUGUUUACAUUUACACCACAUUGUGAGGCGCAAAGGCUGAGAAAUACAAAAUACUUUGAAGAAUGUCAGAGUUAGCAGUAUUGAAAGACUGCUUAAUAGGAGACGUGUGACAUGAAUAUCUACCCCAGAGACAGGAGGAGAAAACUUAAAAACCUGAUAGAGGAUGAAGCGGAAGAAGAAGCCAUAUUGACAAACAACAGGCAUGCACUGGGAAGAUAACGAAGGGCUGGAGGACAUGGCAAGGGCAGAACAUUUCUGGAAGGUGGAUGAGAUGACCUGGAUGCAAACUGGGAAGCCACCAACCAAGACUGACCCAAACUGACCCCUCUAUGGCCUAAUAAAAGUAGAUACUUUACCUGGAUCUUAGAGUUUUAGACUGCUGGACCAAUAAUGAAGUCUUGUGGCAAAAACUAAUAGCCAACCAUUUACAUAUGCUUCAUUCUUCUUGAUGAUAGUGUCAUAGCUGCUUGUCUAGAAGGACAAGAUAAUUACAUGCAAACCCUGUAAAAACUGCAGGGAAGCUGUACCAAUCAGUUUUUAGGGCCAAAAAUGUUAAAUUGUGAAGGGUUUGUGUCAAACAGUAUAAGAAAAUGGCUGUACUCUCAUAAUUUUGAAAAUUUAAAAAUAAUCUUACAUUACCAUUAGGACAUUAUAUUUCAUAAAUGCUUAUCAUCCUGCUAAAUUUUGAUUUCAAGAAGGUCCUUUUCAAGACAAUUUUAAAAAAGAAAUUAUUUUUUGUAGAAUAUUUGUCUUCACAGAAGCAAGAAAUUCAGAAUCAUGAACAACUUGCAAAAUAACAAAUCAUAUUUGUAUAAAGAUGGAACUACCCUUUCAUUUUAUUUUCUGAACUUCAUCUUUUGUCUGCAAUUGAUGUUCAUAAAUGGUGUGUUGAGAGUGAAGGAUGAAAGAUUUUGUUUUCCAAAAAGGUGUUUCAGCAAUUUCUUUCCAAUAAUUAAAAUGCUUUUAAAAAAAUACAUAUCUGAAUAAAGAAUAAUUGUAUUGUGCAAUGGAGGACAGAGUGAAUUGAAAAGAUAAAGUUAACAAAAUAAUAAAAACAAAUUCCUUUGAGCUGUAUCUAACCAAGGUGUAUGUGAGAAAAUAUAUGUUCAGGAAUGUACAGUGAACAUGGUUUGAACAAGUCAUUUGUUUUCAAUGACAAGUGAAAAACAUUGCAGUAGUUUUAUGUUAUGACCUUUGUAUGUGCAUUCUGAACCCAGGAGGGUAAGUAUUGUUGGUUUUUGAGAAAAAAAUUAUUUUAAGUCAGAUCAACAGAAUGAAUGGGAUCACUUUCAUAAACUGGUGGUUCCCAACCUUGUCUGCUCAGAGGUUUUAAAAAUAUCAAUUUAUUAUUUUGUAUAUAUGACACGUUAUGUAUAACUCAGUUUAUUUUUUCCCCUUUUACAAAUAAAAAGUUUGUAACUACCAAUUUAUUCUUUUAUUAUUUUAAGAGAUAAAGGUUGUACAGGUGUUUAGGAGAAAUGGGAAGUCGGGAGAAAUGGGGAGUAACAAGGAAUGGGGGAGGGAACUCAGCUUGGUUUUGAAGUAUGAAAGGGGGGCUUUGAGGAAAAUAGGUUGGGAACCACUGAUCUAAAAACAUACUAUGUAUUUUUUUUUGGGGGGGGGGGGCACAAAAAUAUAUUGAAGUGACUCCAAACUUUAGCAUAUUUUUUGUAAGAAUAAACUGUGAAGGAAUCAUUUAUGGCCAUAUUUCUCAAAUUGUGAUACAAGUACCACUGAUAACAAGGUAAUCAGCCAUCCUAAUCUGAACUGUAAACUUUAACAUAAUGAGUAAGAAACAAAGAUGAGAAGUUGAAGCAAAAAAAUGAUCUUGGUUUAAAGAGAAACUUUUAAACAAAAUCACAAUGAAGAAAUUUUGUCAACCCCUGUAGAAACAGGUGGACAAUGGAUAAACAACUCUUAAGACUGUACCUUACAACCAGGAUCUGGUGCGUGUUUUCAUAUCGCAAUGGUUUCUCCUGAAUCCGUUCAAUGACCAAAACAGUUGAAGCACAGGCUGGUGCAUGAGCCCAUUUCUUUUAUUUAGCCCAUGAAAAAAAUACUGACUAAAUUAAAUAUAUAGACUGUUAAAAUCAUAAAGCUUAUUGUUUUUAAAUUUGUUGUUAGUAUAAGUUUGUUAGCUUAUACUGCUGGUCAUUCUGUUGGAACUUGGAGAGCUUAGUAUUUUCUAAGAUGGUACUAAUAAAAAAGUGUGAAAAGCUAUUAGUCUGUGGUUUUACAGCUGUGCAGAUAAUCACCUCUAAAUCCCGCAACCAUAUGGUCAAAGAGCCUAUUUGCCUGUAGUAAUGGAAUAUACAGUUCAAAUGUGAAUGGUGAUAAAUUGUGAAUUUAUAAGAAGAGUGUUACUGAAUAAAGGAAGUGCAGUGCUUCUAUAGUACCUUUCACAUUGUCAUGACUGCAAAAUAUGCCUUGUGCUGAGGGAAAUUGAAGUAAAUGUUUAUGAGUUUGUAAAAAUGAUGAUUUUCUAUGCAUGAGGUCAAGCACUUGUGCUUUUUAAUUCUUUUGUAAAACCUACAAAAAUUGCAAAUCAAAUAGUUGAUAAACAGAAUCAGGCAUAAUCUACGACAAAUUACCCUUUACCUUCAUGUAUUCAUACAAACAUUUAUUCAAUGUGUGUGUGUAAAACAGCACAUAGGUGCCAAGAAAUAUCCUGAUACAUGGUUGCAUUCUAGUGUCUCGAUUAAAUCUGGAGUAAAAUAUUCAUCAACCACCCUGAUUAUCCUCCAGCAUUAUGCUCAAGCUCACUUUAUAUAACAGAACCAAAACAGGCAUUUCAUCAAUAUUCUCAGGCUGAUGUCAAAGUGAAGCAGAGGUGUGAAAUGGUGGGUGCAGGAUGUAAACCCCCAAAAUACUUGAAACAUAUGGAAUCCAUUAAGUGACCAAAAAAUGUGCAACAAAUCUGGCCUUCAAUUAAGAUAAAUUAGCAUUGUAGUGACAUUCAAAGGUAUUACCUCUCAUUAAUGGCUUAGCUCCUAGUGAUGGAGUGCCAGGCAACAGUGGUAAAUGAUAAUGUAUCCUAAAAGGCUUUGCCAAGACAGUAAUGAUUAAUGUGGAAGAGCGGGCUUGGCUGAUGGACUGCAGAGCUCAGUGGCGAUGAAGGGAAGACCAGGAAGAAAUAAAACAUCUAUGUUUUGGUCGACAAGCCAAGACCAAAAGGCAAAUGGAAAGAUGUUGUGAGUAGUUAAGAGGAAUAAAGUUCCUCUUGACUAGGAUUUAUCUCUGCUGGGGAAACGGGGACAACAUGAAGCUGAAGUGAAUUUCUCCAAUUGUGCUUAUUACCAGUCUUGUAGACUGRCUUUAAAUUAUCUCAUAUAAAUGGAUUCAAUGUGAGUGUUAACAGUCUGAAAAGAAGAAAAAUCAAAAGCCAAUUAAGAAUCAAGUGUAUGGUUUUAUUUAAAGAGCAUAUGAAAAAUAUUAGAACUGACAAAAAUAUAAAAUGACAGGAGAAUGAAGUAGUGAAGUAAUUAAAUGAAAAGAAUUAGCACAGGCUGCUUGAGUGUAGCGGGUGGGGUGGGAUUCAUUUGGUGCCUGACAUUAUACAAUGCAUGGAUUACUUUGGAGCCAUUCCAGCUUACGUAAAAAAAAAAAUCAUAUGACCUAUAAUUAUCCACUAUGUUGGACAAGCUUUCUUUGUCAGUUUAUCUUGUGCGACUCCUGCUCUGGAAAACUCCCACCUAAAAUCAAUAACCUGCAUGAAUCAUCAGGCUAAACACCUGCCUUUCCAAUAUUUUCUAAAUUAAUU